Molecule: long non-coding RNA, 6922 nt
Filed under: Sorghum bicolor (sorghum)
Lineage: Eukaryota; Viridiplantae; Streptophyta; Magnoliopsida; Poales; Poaceae
Description: long non-coding RNA (SBIC_LNC000387)
Source: RNAcentral
ACGAAAUGAUAUAUGAACAAAUAUGAUUUAAUAUGGAGUUCCAACGUCGACUAGGGUUUAGGGGGGGUUUCGACCUUGCCGAACACGAAGAAGGGCGUAGGUCAGCUGCAAGUCUUCUGCUUGGCUGGCUGUGGCUCGCUGCGGCUCGGCUGGAGGCAGCAGGCAGCGAGAAGGCAUCACUUCUUCGGCCAAAACACAACGGGACCAAAACUUCCCUGCAACAGUGGAAGAACACGGCACGAAGGCCGGUCUCAGCGAGGCGAAAUAGGAAGGGGAAAACCUUGGUCUGGGCGAGGCUCACCGGGGGUUUGGCUUGGCGAGGUCGUGCACAGGAGUUCGACGUGGUGACCGUGGCGAGGACGGGGACGCCGCGGGCUCCUGGGCGAGGUCACGGCGUCGUCGUGGUGGCGCAGAUCGAUAUCGGGGUCACGGUCGCGGUCUCCAUGGCUGGCAUGGACGUGGUCGUGGACACCGGACGAGGUCGCGGUGCUUGGCGUGGGCGCGGCCACGGCGGUGAGGUGCUCGGCGAAGAGGGGGUCCGCGGCUCCUGGCGAGGUCCGGGACACGGGCGAUGCAGAGCUUGACGGAGUAGGACUCGCCGAAGUCGGCGUCGCGGCUCCGGUGUCGCCGCGUCGGGGCUUCGAGGUGCUCGGCGUCGACGAUCCAAGGGCGAGGUCGUCGCGAAGGUCGCGGCCGGGGCGAGGUUGGUGCUCGGCUGCUGGGAAUGGAGCAGACAGCGACGGCGGCCAUGGCUUUUAUACGCGUCGGGCUAGGGUUCCAGGGGGAGCCACGUUCAUCCUCGGCGUCCGUGUCAGCUGCGGGACACGCGGCAGGCAUCAGGAUCGAGGGGGAUGGGGUGCGGGCAGGGACAUGGGUGCAGGGGGCGGUUCUGCCCACUCUGGGCGGUGGCGGCGGCGGCUCUGGGGCUCAGGGGUGCGCUAGGGUUAGGCGCUGGGGCGGCUUGGGCCGAGAGGGGUCACGCGCGCGAGUUGGGCCGGGCAGGUAGCUGGGCGGCGACAGGGGCAGAGGGGAAAGGCGGGCCAGGCGGUGCCGAGGCCAACUGGGCCGCAGAGGGGGAAGGGUGGCUGGUUGGGCCAGAGCAUGAGCUGGGCUGGCGAGCUGGAGGGGGAGGAGGGGGAAAGGAAUCCUGGCCCAAGAGAAGAAGGAAGGCUUUUCCAUUUCUGGAUUAAACACAAAAGAAUGAAAACAAAAGGAGAUCGGAUAAAAUCCGAUGGAGUUUGAGACGUACUCCAACAAAAAGUUGAGAAGGGAUUCACUUCGCCUUUGAGAUAGGCUCCACGAAGAUUCGGGAAGACUUUGCUACGGAUUUGUGCACUCCAAAAGAAACUCAAAACCCUAAACAAGACUAAACUCCAAACCGACUCACGAACAAAAGCACUCACCUAGAAACAAAUCUAUAUGUAUGCCACGAUUUGUUUGCGGGUUAGGAUCGAUUUAGAUCUAAAAACUAUAUGCUUCACAAGAUUACAAGAAAAUUUUAAAAAGCUCGUAUUUUUGGUUUUCGUAAAAAUCUAGGAUGUUACAGACCACCCUCCUUACAGGAAUCUCGUCCCCGAGAUUUAGGCAUUGCUCGGUUGGUGAAGAAACGAGGGUGUCGUUCCCGAAGGUUUUCUUUCUUCUGAGUUGCUUUGCUUCUAGUAUUGUCGCUCCACAAACCUUUUCCAAAAUAGGAGUGAGUCAUGUUCUGGGUGCAUCCAGGGCUCAGUGACGGGUGUUGGGUGUCCAAUUUCUUACGCCAAGGCGAUGGGUAUCCAAGAAUCGCACCAGGUUGAUGAACAUCUAGCUCUCAAAGAGUGCUUGGCAGGCUGAAACAUAGCUAGGGUUGUUGGCUUUCACCAGAUGUUUUUCAUGCAUCACAUUUUGAAAAAGGCUUUUGAAAGGAGGGAUUUUUGGGAAACAGGUUUCAAAAAUUAGAGUGAAAGCGCUUUUACAAAGUCAAUUUUUUUUUCAGAGGCGUCAAAUUGAAGAGAGCUUUUGAAGAGUGUUGAAAUCAAUGCAAGUUUUGAAAACCAAAUCUUCUGAAGGUUUUGUUACAAAAGAUUUCAAAUCAAGAGAUUUUUUUAAAAUUCUUUUAUUUUAUUAUUAUUUUCUUUAAAACAAGGUAUUGCUCCAUUUUUAUUAGAGUCAAACAAACUAGUUUUGAAAGUGAUUAGAAAUCUUUCCUCAUUUGAAAGUUAGAGCCUUCACAACCAAAUCUUGUUUUCAACAUUUUUUUUGAAAGGAUGCAAAUAAAAUCUUUUCGCAAUGGUUUUUGUUUAAUAAAUCACUGGCAAUUUCUUUUUCUUUUAAGACAAGAUGGAUUUUUAAAAGGAAUUUGGCUCCUGAGAUAAAGUCAAAGGCCUUUAAAACAAAACUGAGCCAAAGUUCUUUGGUUUGAAAACCACCUUGUUGAUGAAAAAGCAAAACUUUUAUUUUAUUAUAUAUAUAUUAUUUUUUUGAAGGGGUUUUGUCACACCUUUUGCAAGAUGAUUUGUUUUUAAAUUGUUUCAUAAAUAACUUUUGAAUAAAAUUGAGUUGAGAAAGGGGUUAAAAUUGCUUUCUUUGUGAAAAUGAAAGAUAUUGAGAGAGUUUUGAAACACUUUUCCUUUUGAAACCAAGAUGUUUUUGUAAAAGAGGGAAACUUUUUCAACCAAAAGGAGAGGCAAAUUUUUUUAACCAAAGGGGCAAUUUUGAAGACAAGUUUAGUUGGAAACUGGAAACAAUUUUGAAAUGGUUGGGUAAAACAAGAUGCAUCAGCUUUACACCCUUUUUCAACUAUGUUAUUCAGGGGCACCUAUCUACUCUCGGGACGAUCUUGGGUUUAGCCAGCUAAAUUAGACAGGAUCCAGAGUCUUACUCGCAUAAAAUAGGUUUAUAGCUUACACUCAAACAACAAGAAGCCGAAGAAACACAACAACAUAAGAUCCAAGCACUCAAACAGCAUUACAAUUCCUAAUGCAUAGUGUUGACUUGAGGCGACUCACCGACCUUCAAAGUCUCACACGACUACCGAUCUAGCGUGGGCGGGUAUGGGAAAAGAUUCCAACGGUCAACUUUACGAUACAGGGAGGUCAGUUAGCAGCAGAAUUCAAGGCGGAGGGGAAAACAAGCGUUAGCAUCUAUAACUCUACAAAAGAUAGAAUGUUUGGCUUCUCUACUAGUGUUUGGUCCUAAAGGUCUCGUCCUAGGGUCAAGUAUGGCUCUGAUACCAACUGAAACGACCUAGAUUUUUCCACAAAGGGGAAAAAUCCUCAGAUUCGAAUUAUAAUGUGAUAAUUCAGAAAUUGAGCCAUCACAUUAUCAUAUAUCAGCUGUUAUCACAGUCAUACAUCGUGAAAAAGGAGAUUACAACACAUUUACUUUAAACCUGAGAGGAAGAAAUUUUCUCCUUCUAAUAUUAGAUAGAUGUAGAUAUAAAUUUAUUACAAUUUAAUGCAAUUAUUAUAUUUGUGAAAUGAUGGUUGACCAUGUUAUUCUUAAUUUGUACGUUCGUGUGAAAACACGCAAGGACUAACUUGCUGCAUAAAAAAUAACUAUAAUUGGAAAAUAUAAUUUUUUGAAUAGAACUAGGCAAAGAAGGAUAUGUUUAGAUCUCAUCAAUUGAAACCAAUAUCUAGAAGGUGCUUUUUAUUUUAUUUUAAAAUAUUUCUAGUUUCUCUGAAUUUCUAGGAACCCACGUAGCAGGGCCUAAGCUAAGUGAUUUAGAACCAGCUUGGCAGAGCUCCCAAAAUAGCGUCCAAGUUGAAAGCUAGGUAGGAGAAACUAUGCUAAACAGUUUUUUUACUGAGAAGUGAUUUUUUGCACAUAUCUGUGAAGUGCUUCUUUGAAAUGGACUAAAAGGCAGGGAGCUGAAAAAAGUAAUUCCUCUUGAUUGAUUCCAUGCAUAAAAUCAUUAUAUGCAUAACUUGAAGUAGGAGGAGCUCAGCAAACUGGCCCUUGACCCUUUUGCUGAUUCAACGUGCCGUGAAAAAACAAGAAACCUUUUCUGCUUAGAAAUGUUUCUAGUGUCUAACGAUUCACUAGUUUCGGAGAACCGCAACUGAAACGACCUAGAUUUUUCCACAAAGGGGAAAAAUCCUCAGAUUCGAAUUAUAAUGUGAUAAUUCAGAAAUUGAGCCAUCACAUUAUCAUAUAUCAGCUGUUAUCACAGUCAUACAUCGUGAAAAAGGAGAUUACAACACAUUUACUUUACAACUCUUAGUUAACAAGCCUAUUACAUCGUUUUACUAGCGGAAACAUACACGAAUCUUUAUCAGAGUUGAUGUAGCGCGUCAACGGUGAAGGCUCCUCCUUCACAGGCAAUCAUCAGAGUCGGCGUAGUUUAUCAGCGGGCGUAGCCUUCAUCUCCGAACCAAACUUGAGCGCAUGAACGAGACCACCUAAUCCUUCUAUUCUCCGUGGUUAUCGUCUUAGACCACGUUCAACACCUGCUAAACAAUUUUCAGUACGAUUUGUACUGGCCACUGGCUCCCACCCUAUGCUUUUGCGUAAGCUUUGUGGUAAGUGGAAUGCAAAGGGGUAGAUCAAGAGGCCUAUAAAUAUGGUUGUAGUCUUUCCUAUGCAAGUUCAUCAAUAUUUAAUAAUAAUAUUCAUCAGGUUUUAAUCCAUCUCAACCACACAUCCAUCCAUCCAUCCAUCCAUCCAUCACACACAUCUCACCACACUCUCACUCUCUAGGCGGCAAGUACGACUCCCGCUCGUGCCUUGCCUCAACGUCCAACGCCGGAUCCAACACAAACCCAGGGGAAGGUAGAAGGGACUCCUCUCUCUAGUCAAGUGAAGCGGAAACAUAGGAAAGGUCCAUAGCCGAAAACGGCAUAUGUAUCGAUCGAUCAACCAGAAACUCUGCAGAGGUUUGCACUAACCACAAGAUCACCAUCAUCGGUGGUGCGCCCCACCUAGGCUGAUGCCGGGCUGCCUUCCAACUAAGUACGAUGCCACCCUACCACUCAGAACUGGGACCAUACCGGAGUACCUCCGGUACGCUGAGACUGUGAGGCGUAGUACCGGGCCCCCAAAGGUCACUACGCUGUCUUAGGAGGGUGUGGGUCCUCAUGCCCGUACCUCCCUACACUGUCAACCAACAACCUAGUAGUAGUGGCACCGCCCUAACUGGUCGUACAUCCGUCUCCUCCCCAUAAGAGCGAGUGGGGUGCAAGGCUUCCUACGAACCGGUUCUCAGAACAUCUCAGUCCUUAGGGUGACCGAACAGGACAUCUUCACGAGGGGCCAACCGAUGCCCGGCUCGACGGGACAUCCGAUUACCCCGUGUUAAACAGCACCUCCCAUCCCGGUGCUUCGUCCCACGAAGACACUCCACUCCGGGACCUCUCCCUGUCACAUGUACCCGCCACAGGUAAGAGACGGGGAAUCAGAAAGAGUGACACACAAGAACACGAGUGCUUAAACACUUGUAGGGUACCACGACCUAGGUGCACUAAAUGCACUAAGACAUCCCUAGGGUUCAUAGCAGUGCGGUUGUCACCGCGAGAACCAAAGAAACGCUACGGUCAAGUAGGUACAAGCAUACAAGAGUUUAAGUACGAAGAACCAAAAGGCGGUAAAAGACACGGGUUUCACUUUCCAUUGAUCCGCUCGCCAUAUCAACAACGGGAAUCGCGGGAUUGGAAACAAAACAUCAAACAAGCAAAAAGGAGCUCAAUCCACAUCUUACUGGAUCGACGGGGAUUGAGAACAAGAGAGAAGAAGAAGAAUGGGGUCCACGUUCUUUCAACCCAACUCAUCAUGGAACGAACGACGGUUGGAUAAAAAGUGAUGCGACCCCACGAUCUACUCCAACUCAAAACGCUUCACGACCUAGGUGCUUCUGACUCGGCACAAGGUCAUUCCUAUAGUUCUAGGCGAUGCGGUUGUCAUCGCGGGAACUAGGGGAAAUGCCCGGGUCUAGGUGGCAUAAGCAUACGAGACAGAAUAAAUAAACACGCGAGAAAAAUGGGAUAGGCUCAAUGGCCAUGGCGAGGCGUCUCGCGACCAUGAGCUUCACCUAACGAGUUGGCUUCCGACUGUUCCACGAAGGUUGUCCCCUAAUUCGUAUCCCACUCGACUAGGUCAUUUAGGUCUCGGGUGUGCGGGUAAGAACCGCGUCGUUAACGACAUCGAGUCCACGAUGACCACGUCCGAGGGACGGGAAUAGGAGCUAACGACCGUAGCGCAACGAAGUCAACUAAACACAAGGAAUGAGUUACGCUCGGCAUCGCGAUCACGGCGGGACGAACCCACGAUCGAAAUGAUCGAACGCACUACCAUUUCCCUAACCGGCUCGAAGGCUCGGUCCUCAGGCAACGACAAACACAUAAAGAAUCACGACUCGACCAAAGACAACACAAGGGACACGAUGACAACUCAGAGUAGCACAUUUCCAUAGCACGAGAGAUAGAUAGAGAUAGAUAAAUAAACCAGCACGAAGGCACGACACAGGCAUGGAUAUAGAUAAAUCAUAUAACAAGUGCACGACAUGGAUGGAUCAUAUAUCGACAAGGUAGGAGAUGUAUGAUCAUGUACAGAUGAUAGAUAACGAAAUGAUAUAUGAACAAAUAUGAUUUAAUAUGGAGUUCCAACGUCGACUAGGGUUUAGGGGGGGUUUCGACCUUGCCGAACACGAAGAAGGGCGUAGGUCAGCUGCAAGUCUUCUGCUUGGCUGGCUGUGGCUCGCUGCGGCUCGGCUGGAGGCAGCAGGCAGCAGGCAGCGAGAAGGCAUCACUUCUUCGGCCAAAACACAACGGGACCAAAACUUCCCUGCAACAGUGGAAGAACACGACACGAAGGCCGGUCUCAGCGAGGCGAAAUAGGAAGGGGAAAACCUUGGUCUGGGCGAGGCUCACCGGGGGUUUGGCUUGGCGAGGUCGUGCACAGGAGUUCGACGCGGUGACCGUGGCGAGGACGGGGACGCCGCGGGCUCCUG